AUGAACGCUGGCGGCGUGCCUAAUACAUGCAAGUCGAGCGAACGGACGAGAAGCUUGCUUCUCUGAUGUUAGCGGCGGACGGGUGAGUAACACGUGGAUAACCUACCUAUAAGACUGGGAUAACUUCGGGAAACCGUAGCUAAUACCGGAUAAUAUUUUGAACCGCAUGGUUCAAAAGUGAAAGACGGUCUUGCUGUCACUUAUAGAUGGAUCCGCGCUGCAUUAGCUAGUUGGUAAGGUAACGGCUUACCAAGGCAACGAUGCAUAGCCGACCUGAGAGGGUGAUCGGCCACACUGGAACUGAGACACGGUCCAGACUCCUACGGGAGGCAGCAGUAGGGAAUCUUCCGCAAUGGGCGAAAGCCUGACGGAGCAACGCCGCGUGAGUGAUGAAGGUCUUCGGAUCGUAAAACUCUGUUAUUAGGGAAGAACAUAUGUGUAAGUAACUGUGCACAUCUUGACGGUACCUAAUCAGAAAGCCACGGCUAACUACAUG
RNAcentral lists this ribosomal RNA (496 nucleotides) under uncultured bacterium. RNAcentral describes it as "partial 16S ribosomal RNA". It matches the Rfam family "Bacterial small subunit ribosomal RNA", at positions 29 to 507 of the family's 1533-position model. The record is from RNAcentral.